This 81-nucleotide transfer RNA is filed under the name Canis lupus familiaris (dog). It matches the Rfam family "tRNA". Rfam says of the family: Transfer RNA (tRNA) molecules are approximately 80 nucleotides in length. Their secondary structure includes four short double-helical elements and three loops (D, anti-codon, and T loops). Further hydrogen bonds mediate the characteristic L-shaped molecular structure. tRNAs have two regions of fundamental functional importance: the anti-codon, which is responsible for specific mRNA codon recognition, and the 3' end, to which the tRNAs corresponding amino acid is attached (by aminoacyl-tRNA synthetases). tRNAs cope with the degeneracy of the genetic code in two manners: having more than one tRNA (with a specific anti-codon) for a particular amino acid; and 'wobble' base-pairing, i.e. permitting non-standard base-pairing at the 3rd anti-codon position. The record is from Rfam by way of RNAcentral. Lineage: Eukaryota; Metazoa; Chordata; Mammalia; Carnivora; Canidae. RNAcentral also lists the same sequence under 1 other name.
GCCUGGGUGGCUCAGUGGUUGAGCAUCUGCCUUUGGCUCAGUGUGUGACCCAAGUCGUAGGAUCGAGUCCUGUAUCAGGUU